This 76-nucleotide transfer RNA is filed under the name Bacteroidales bacterium. Its description in RNAcentral is "tRNA-Pro". It matches the Rfam family "tRNA". Rfam says of the family: Transfer RNA (tRNA) molecules are approximately 80 nucleotides in length. Their secondary structure includes four short double-helical elements and three loops (D, anti-codon, and T loops). The record is from RNAcentral. Lineage: Bacteria; Pseudomonadati; Bacteroidota; Bacteroidia; Bacteroidales.
UAGGCGUGUGGCCCCGCCUUGGCGGGGUACUACGUUCGGGACGUAGGGGCCGGAAGUUCGAGUCUUCUCACCCCGA